GCUAGCGAAUUUGACUCCAAAAAGGCCUC
Molecule: small RNA, 29 nt
Filed under: Bombyx mori (domestic silkworm)
Lineage: Eukaryota; Metazoa; Arthropoda; Insecta; Lepidoptera; Bombycidae
Description: ovarian small RNA-17060
Source: RNAcentral